GUGCUUGCAUUGGCAGCAUGUACACUAAAAUUGGAAUAAUAUAGAGAAGAUUAGCAUGGCCCCUGCACAAGUGUGACACACAGAUCUGUGAAAUGUCCCAUAUUUUG
RNAcentral lists this small nuclear RNA (107 nucleotides) under Dasypus novemcinctus (nine-banded armadillo). The record is from RNAcentral. Lineage: Eukaryota; Metazoa; Chordata; Mammalia; Cingulata; Dasypodidae.